UUGAGCAAGCAGAAAAGGAUAAAUCUUGUGUUGAAUUAGAUUAUGAAAAGCUUAAAGUUAAAUUUGCUUAUUUUAAAGAGAAGAAACAGAUUAUUACUGAAGAUUAUGAAAAAUUAAAACUUGAAGUAGCUG
Amphimedon queenslandica is the source of this 132-nucleotide long non-coding RNA. RefSeq lists it as uncharacterized. Lineage: Eukaryota; Metazoa; Porifera; Demospongiae; Haplosclerida; Niphatidae. The record is from RefSeq and is a predicted model, not a curated record. The transcript is spliced from 3 exons.